AGAGUUUGAUCAUGGCUCAGAUUGAACGCUGGCGGCAGGCCUAACACAUGCAUGUCGAGCGGAUGAAGAGAGCUUGCUCUCUGAUUCAGCGGCGGACGGGUGAGCAAUGCCUAGGAAUCUGCCUGGUAGUGGGGGACAACGUUUCGAAAGGAACGCUAAUACCGCAUACGUCCUGCGGGAGAAAGCAGGGGACCUUCGGGCCUUGCGCUAUCAGAUGAGCCUAGGUCGGAUUAGCUAGUUGGUGGGGUAAUUGCUCACCAAGGCGACGAUCCGUAACUGGUCUGAGAGGAUGAUCAGUCACACUGGAACUGAGACACGGUCCAGACUCCUACGGGAGGCAGCAGUGGGGAAUAUUGGACAAUGGGCGAAGGCCUGAUCCAGCCAUGCCGCGUGUGUGAAGAAGGCCUUCGGGUUGUAAAGCACUUUCAGCGAGGAAGAACGCCUUGGGAUUAAUACUCCCGAGGAAAGACAUCACUCGCAGAAGAAGCACCGGCUAACUCCGUGCCAGCAGCCGCGGUAAUACGGAGGGUGCAAGCGUUAAUCGGAAUUACUGAGCGUAAAGCGCGCGUAGGUGGCUAAGUCAGCCAGGUGUGAAAGCCCCGGGCUCAACCUGGGAACUGCAUUCAAAACUGUCAAGCUAGAGUAUGGUAGAGGGUGGUGGAAUUUCCUGUGUAGCGGUGAAAUGCGUAGAGAUCGGGAGGAAUACCAGUGGCGAAGGCGGCCUUCUGGACUGACACUGACACUGAGGUGCGAAAGCGUGGGUAGCAAACAGGAUUAGAUACCCUGGUAGUCC
Molecule: ribosomal RNA, 793 nt
Filed under: uncultured bacterium
Lineage: Bacteria
Description: bacterial SSU rRNA
Rfam family: Bacterial small subunit ribosomal RNA
Source: RNAcentral